RNAcentral lists this ribosomal RNA (441 nucleotides) under uncultured bacterium. Its description in RNAcentral is "partial 16S ribosomal RNA". It matches the Rfam family "Bacterial small subunit ribosomal RNA", at positions 338 to 795 of the family's 1533-position model. The record is from RNAcentral.
CCUACGGGAGGCAGCAGUCGGGAAUAUUGCGCAAUGGAGGAAACUCUGACGCAGUGACGCCGCGUGCAGGAAGAAGGUUCUCGGAUUGGAAACUGCUUUAGACAGGGAAGAAAAAAGAUAGUACCUGUAGUAUAAGCUCCUGCUAACUACGUGCAAGCAGCCGCGGUAAUACGGAGGGAGCAAGCGUUAUCCGGAUUUAUUGGGUGUAAAGGGUGCGUAAGCGGAGAAGCAAGUUAGUUGUGAAAUCUCUCGGCUUAACUGAGGAAGUGCGACUAAAACUACUUCCCUUGAGUACUGGGGAGGAAGGUGGAAUUCGUAGUGUAGCGGUGAAAUGCGUAGAUAUUAGGAGGAACACCAAUGGCGAAGGCAGCUUUCUGGAGAGUAACUGACGUUGAGGCACGAAAGUGUGGGGAGCAAACAGGAUUAGAUACCCUUGUAGUC